GGUUAGUGAGACUCUGCUGGAAGAGAUACCUUGGCAUGCACAGAGAAGUCAGCCCUAACUAAUCUGUGGAUGAUGGCUCUUAUAAAGUUAAGGAACUCAGGGAGGGGUUCCUGAUGUAGCCCUGCAACUCAGGGCAUCCUACCUCAUCAGGACAGAUGGACAGAGAUCCCAUUGGCACUGUGUUUCAAUCGGCUAAAGCUGUCCCCUGGCUGUGGGAGUACUUCCAAGAAGACUAGGUGAAUAUGUUAAAUCUGCCUCCUGAUCCAUCUGUCUCGGUGCUUUCCCCAGCAUCUGUCUGUCUGGGAUUGUCUUGCUGUUGUCUUGCUGUCCAUCUGUUACAACCAUCUAAGAUCUGAUUUGGAAGCUCUUCGAGCCAACAUUUUUCUGCUUAUGUCAAGAAACACAAUGAUCCACCUCAGGCCCCAAGGUGCUGCUCCAGUACUGACUCCAUCAGACCAAACAUUUCCAAAUUAAGGAUCAAAAUUCCUACAGGGCUGGUCAUCUGUUAUUAAUCUGGAGCUGCUUGAAAACAUUUGAUCUACAAGAGACUCAGAAACAGAAAAAAGGUUGAUAAUCACAGUAUUCUAUCAUCUGCUCUGUAGAUAUAUUCUAUUGAUGUUUUCUGUUUCAUGCUCAUUAUGCCAUCUUUCUUUUCUCUUCAAUAUUUUCUUUUGUAACAACAGAAUGUCAGAGUAGUCCAAAAGCUCUUGUCUUUCAUUGGUUAUCAAACAAUGCUUAUAUUAGAAGACAUCUACUUUGGUCCCAUUUCCAGCUCCCUUUUCAUGUAUCCAUCUUCAAUAUUCCUUGAAGCACAAAAAGUCUUCCCUACUGAAUUUGUCUUUUUAAAGCAUUUCUGCUGUGGAAGCCUUCUAUGAAAGCCAAUAAAAACCACUUAGAUUUGAGGGACCAACUGCAGUGUCUAGAAAACUGACUCUGAGAAGAAUGUGCACUCGAAAAAUAUCUUGAAUGGAUUUAUUAUACUAACAUAUGUUAAAACUGCCAGUGCUGCAAAGAAAACUCUCUACAUCAUCUCCUCUCAUUUACAGCACCAAAAAGGCUAAAACUUUAUUCUAAUAAAGUGUGGUGCAGUUGCAGCUGCAAGUGGUAUAAAAUAAGAUACAUUAAGUGAAAUAGACAUUAAAAGUGCAAAGUAAGAGAUGGGUACAAAAGGAAAUUUUUAUCAUGACAAUCCAUUAGUGUUUUGCAGCCAGGCAGACAAAAACAGUGACCUGGAACAAAUCAAGAAGAAUGAUGUUUGACUUAUGCUUCCUUCUACAAAGUAUGACCUAUAUACACAGUUUUUAAUUAGAAAUAUGUUUUCUUCAUGGGAUGAUGAGCUAAAUUCUGUUAAUUUUUAUAAUUCAUUAAAGAUCCAGGUAGAAUUACAAAUAAAUGGGGAAGGAAUGAGCUUUGGACCAGCUACAAAAAAACCCUCCCUGUGAAACAGAGAGAUCCAUCAGCAUGUAGCUGUGUGCUGACUAGUUGCAUAAGCCACCGUUAUCCUCAGACAACCUUGACUAAAUCUUGCCAUCAAUAUUUAAAAUAAAUCUAGCACAAGCCAUGUUUUUAAAAUCCUAAGCUAGUCAUCUAGAAGACUGAUUUUUUUGUCCCAUGAAUGACCUCUGGAAGAAAAAACACAUGCACAGCACUUUCUUCCACAAGUGGAAAGAUGUUCACCACAUAUAGGACUGGCAAGCACUGCACAGGAAAAUACAUUUACUUAAAAGCACUUUAAGGGAACUUCUGAAUGAAUGCAGCAGUGCUGUCUAGAGGGAUGAGUCCGUGGGGCCAGAUCCCUCUCCAAUUUUCAAAAGAACUUGCCCCCUGUUAAUUACUGUGUCUGACACUGGGCACAUAAAUGACUCUGCAUAUGUGUUUCUAUUGGUUGAUCUUCUCAAGUGCAAUGUCACAGGCAGUAGGACUGAGCUCUGCGGGAUGCCUUUGGUGGGGUGUAACACUCUAUUGUGUAAAGGCAAACCUCAAAGCUGGCUCCACACUUUCCCACAACUUUAUGCUGCGUUGCUUAGAUCAGAAGCCUGAGCACUGCAUCAAGUGUGCAAUACCACCAGCCUCUCCACCGUGCUCUCACACACGAUCACACUGUGCAUGAACACACAGUCACUGUGCUCAGAACAGUUCACGACUGAGCAGGAAAGCACCAUGUUCAUCCAGAGCAUUUGAAAACCCACCAGAGCAACAGCAAUCAUUUAUUGAUUUAUACCUGUGAAGUUGGAAAGGACUCACAGAACCACAGAAAGGUUGGGGGUGAAAGGGACCUCCGGAGAUCACCCAGUCCAACCCCCCCACCAAGGCACCUAAAGCAGGUGACACAGGAUUCUGCAUUUGUGUUUGCAUCAAUAGUUAACAUGCAAGUUUCCACAUUUCAGUGUCAGCCUACUGCAGAAGUGGCUGAAGAAAACUGAUCCAACUGAACCAUUUUGUCACUCAGAUUAUUUGAAAAUUUUGACACUUAAAUAUUGGCUCGUAAUUUUUCUUGUUUUGGGCUGAAGGGGCUCAUGCAUUUUUUUUGCCAAGAAUGUGGAUAUCCAAAAAAUCUAUUUAAAGUUCUAAAGUUUUAAAACUUUGAAAUGUCAACUAGUAGUGUCUUACCAGAAGGUGACUGGUGCAGAUAAGUAUUAUAUAGAUUGAAACAAGCACAUAUUGAUCUGGACUCAUGUUAAAGCAACACCCAGCCACUGGUUAAAGAGAGGCAGCUGACAGUGAAAAGUGUUUGCUUCUUGAGCAGGAUUGACUGCAGAAAUAUCCUUUAAUCAUGUGAGCAUAAGAUGUGUAGGGUUUGGUUAACCUUGGCCCUUAUGCACUGCUGUGUCUGAAAAAAAAAGAUUUCUCUAAUUAUCAGCAAAAAUAAAAAUACUACCAUUUAAUCAUAAUUCCCUUGAAAUGGCAACUUUGAUUUCAUGGUAGUGUUUACAGUUCUAGACUCACCAGUUGUGUCAGAAAUCCAGGCUCUGGUGAGCAAACCCUCUAAGCUUCACUGGAAAAAGCUUUUGAACUCACUGCUGCUUGCUCCAGAGGAUGAAAAACAAACCUUAAAGCUGCCAAUAUUUAUGUUUUGGGGAAACCAAUUGAAAAAGAGAAAGAGAUUUUCUGAGCUCAGAACAAAAAUAGCAUUAAAAAAGCUUAUUUUGUUUUAUCCCUUUGAAAAUUCCCUUUUCUUUUUAAUUAAGCUCUCACAGGAUUCAUGGUGUUGGAGAGUUUUCAAAGAAACAGAGAACUUGCUUGCCAGGUUUUUUGUCUUUUUUCCCCCCUCUGCUAGCUCACACAGCUCUACUUGUUGCAAAUAUUUAUUUGCUCUGAGAAAAGGAGCUGAAGCAGAGGAAUUGCUGGGAGUGUUCAGGAAACCAAAAUAAUAUUAAUAACAACUUCUACAUAUUAUAGAGAGAAAGGUCCAUAAGAUUUUUCUGUUGUAGAAACACAGAUCCAAACAGGAAAAGAUUUGCUCAGGUUAAACUUUGUAUUACCUAACAGUUGUAAACCAGGGUCACAGAAGCUUGAUUUUUUUUCACUAGGAGUAGAAAGAUAUAGCUGUUGCAACAACACAUUGAUUUGCAGUAAAUUCUAUGUAGUUUUGGCCUCAAUUCCACAAACAUCAAGCUGGUCAUUUCAGAUAUGUGUUUCCUGAGGGGCUGACAAAGACUUUAUCUCUUUCCCAAUACCUCUGGCAGCUACUGUUUUCCCAGCAGAGGAUCAUGACUUUUCUCUGCAUUUGGGAAUCGGAUACUGGAUGCAUCCAGAGAGGCUCGAUGCGGCUGCUCAGCAGCUGCAAGGCUGGGACUUCUCCUUGACUCCAUCCAAGAGAGCUGUGUUUGAUGAGCCCUGAGCAGGGCUGCCAGGGCUGACAUCUCCUCUACCCACAGGUCACAGUAUGAGCAGGUCCCACAGCAUCACUGGGCCUAAAAUUACAGACAUAAAAGAUCUCAGGCCUCUAAAAGACUUUCAUACCAAUUUACAAGGCAGAAAUUAAAUACAAGAAUAAACCAGAAUGGUUUCUGUUGAAAAAGACUGUUAAGCUCAUUGAGUCCAACUGUUAACCUUACACUGACAAAUCCAGCAUUAAACCAUGUCCCUAAGUGCCACAAAUCUUUCACAUACAGCUGGGGAUGGAGACUCCAUCACUUUCCUGGGAAGCCAGUUUCAGAGCUUUACAAACUUUUUGAUGACAAAAGUUUUCCUAAUAUCCAAUCUAAAUCUUCUCUAGCAUAACUUGAGGCCAUUCCCUCUCAUCCUGUCACUUGUCU
This is a long non-coding RNA of Motacilla alba alba, 4259 nucleotides long. RefSeq lists it as uncharacterized. The transcript has 4 exons. Lineage: Eukaryota; Metazoa; Chordata; Aves; Passeriformes; Motacillidae. The record is from RefSeq and is a predicted model, not a curated record.